This 313-nucleotide ribosomal RNA is filed under the name uncultured dinoflagellate. Its description in RNAcentral is "bacterial SSU rRNA". It matches the Rfam family "Eukaryotic small subunit ribosomal RNA", at positions 557 to 874 of the family's 1831-position model. The record is from RNAcentral. Lineage: Eukaryota; Dinophyceae.
AAGUCUGGUGCCAGCAGCCGCGGUAAUUCCAGCUCCAAUAGCGUAUAUUAAAAUUGUUGCGGUUAAAACGCUCGUAGUUGGAUAUCUGUGAGCGGGUUUCGGUCCUUCCCAGUGAAGAUUACACGGAACUCUGCUCGCAUUUGUUCAGGGAGGGUGGAUGCACUUCACUGUGUGACCACAUGAUCUGAAUUUUUACUUUGAGGAAAUGAGAGUGUUCCAAGCAGGCAAUCGCCGUGAAUAUGAUAGCAUGGAAUAAUAGCACAGGACUCUUGGUUCAAUGCUGUUGGUUUGUUGAACUAGAGUAACCACAAUA